Molecule: ribosomal RNA, 407 nt
Filed under: uncultured Jatrophihabitans sp.
Lineage: Bacteria; Bacillati; Actinomycetota; Actinomycetes; Jatrophihabitantales; Jatrophihabitantaceae
Description: bacterial SSU rRNA
Rfam family: Bacterial small subunit ribosomal RNA
Source: RNAcentral
UGGGGAAUAUUGCGCAAUGGGCGAAAGCCUGACGCAGCGACGCCGCGUGAGGGAUGAAGGCCUUCGGGUUGUAAACCUCUUUCAGCAGGGACGAAGCGAAAGUGACGGUACCUGCAGAAGAAGCACCGGCCAACUACGUGCCAGCAGCCGCGGUAAUACGUAGGGUGCAAGCGUUGUCCGGAAUUAUUGGGCGUAAAGAGCUCGUAGGCGGUCUGUCACGUCGGCUGUGAAAACCCGGGGCUCAACCCCGGGCCUGCAGUCGAUACGGGCAGACUAGAGUGUGGUAGGGGAGACUGGAAUUCCUGGUGUAGCGGUGAAAUGCGCAGAUAUCAGGAGGAACACCGGUGGCGAAGGCGGGUCUCUGGGCCAUAACUGACGCUGAGGAGCGAAAGCGUGGGGAGCGAACA